RNAcentral lists this ribosomal RNA (494 nucleotides) under uncultured bacterium. RNAcentral's name for it is "bacterial SSU rRNA". It matches the Rfam family "Bacterial small subunit ribosomal RNA", at positions 1 to 507 of the family's 1533-position model. The record is from RNAcentral.
ACACGACUACGAAGUUGAUCCUGGCUCAGAAUCAACGCUGGCGGCGUGCCUCAGACAUGCAAGUCGAACGAUUAAAGCUCUCUUCGGAGAGUGUAUAGAGUGGCGCACGGGUGAGUAACACGUAAGUAAUCUACCCUCGAGUGGGGAAUAACAACCGGAAACGGUUGCUAAUACCGCAUAAUGCAGCGGCACCGCAAGGUGACAGUUGUUAAAGAUUUAUCGCUUGAGGAGGAGCUUGCGGCAGAUUAGCUAGUUGGUAGGGUAACGGCUUACCAAGGCUACGAUCUGUAACCGGUCUAAGAGGACGGUCGGUCACACUGACACUGAAUAACGGGUCAGACUCCUACGGGAGGCAGCAGUCGGGAAUUUUGGGCAAUGGGCGAAAGCCUGACCCAGCAACGCCGCGUGAAGGAUGAAGUAUUUCGGUAUGUAAGCUUCGAAAGAAUAGGAAGAAUUAAUGACGGUACUAUUUAUAAGGUCCGGCUAACUACGUG